GACGAACGCUGGCGGCGUGCUUAACACAUGCAAGUCGAACGGAAAGGCCCUGCUUUUGUGGGGUGCUCGAGUGGCGAACGGGUGAGUAACACGUGAGUAACCUGCCCUUGACUUUGGGAUAACUUCAGGAAACUGGGGCUAAUACCGGAUAGGAGCUCCUGCUGCAUGGUGGGGGUUGGAAAGUUUCGGCGGUUGGGGAUGGACUCGCGGCUUAUCAGCUUGUUGGUGGGGUAGUGGCUUACCAAGGCUUUGACGGGUAGCCGGCCUGAGAGGGUGACCGGCCACAUUGGGACUGAGAUACGGCCCAGACUCCUGCGGGAGGCAGCAGUGGGGAAUAUUGCACAAUGGGCGGAAGCCUGAUGCAGCAACGCCGCGUGCGGGAUGACGGCCUUCGUGUUGUAAACCGCUUUCGCCUGUGACGAAGCGUGAGUGACGGUAAUGGGUAAAGAAGCACCGGGUAACUACGAG
RNAcentral lists this ribosomal RNA (468 nucleotides) under uncultured bacterium. RNAcentral's name for it is "partial 16S ribosomal RNA". It matches the Rfam family "Bacterial small subunit ribosomal RNA", at positions 28 to 507 of the family's 1533-position model. The record is from RNAcentral.